UUGAGAAACUGAUGUGACUCCAUUUUUGAGAAACCAGCCUCUACAUCAAAGCUUGUCUAAGGAAGGGGGCGUGACCCUUGUCCUUGGAAAAAACCCACAGACCACUCCUAGGCACAUACCCACCCUGCUGAGUUGUUUGUCUGCAAAUUAACAGGAGACACCAGGUAUCCCUGACUCAGUUAGGCUAGGUGAGGACCCAUAGCAACCCCCAAGCAACCACCAAUCAGCAUGAGACAGGGAAAAUACCAGAUGACCCCCUAGUAUUUUAUGGUGGUUGAUAACAUGUUGGGAAACCAUGUAGUUUAGCACAUACACCCCUCACGGAUUAAACCAACCAGUUCAAACAAAUUCCCCUCUUGUAUUAACCAAUCACCCUUACCCAACUUGUUCCCGCCAGUGAAUGUGCAAAUCAAUGUUAAGAGUUGUUGUUUGACUUUCCUGAGGUGUAAAAUGAUUUGCUAUGUGAUGUUGUGACGCAUAGAGUAUCCCCCAAAAAUCUAUAAAUCCUCAUUGAACAAAGGACUGGGACUCACUCCUCCAUACCUUUGUGUCAGAAACAGUUGUGAGUCCAGGCUCGAGCUUGCAAUAAAGACUCUUGUGUGAUUGCAUCGGAUUUGGCUCCUGGAAGUCUAUUGGGGUCCUACGAAUCUGGCAUUAUACUAUUAUCAGAGUAAUAGUAGUGUUGCUGUUAGUAUUAUUCAGAAUGAAUUAUUUUAUUUAAAAAGAAUCUUAGUUAAUACAGAAAAUUAUUAGCCAGAAAUAGUAUCUUGAGUGAAAGACCUUUAGAACAAAUAUAGUCACCUCUUGAUAUUCCAGGACCCCCUAAGGAUACCAAAAUAUGCAGAUGCCCAAAAUCCUUAUAUAAAUGGAAUAGUAUUUGGGCUGGGGUUGUAGCUCAGUGGUAGAGCUCUUGCCUAGCACAUGUGAGGUCCUGAGUUCAAUUCUCAGCACCACAUAUAAAUAAAUAAAAUAAAUGUAUUGUGUCCACCUACAAUUAAAAAAAUAUAUUAAUUAAAUAAAUAAAUGGAAUAGUAUUUGCUUAUGACCUAUAUACAUCUUCCUGUGGAUUUUAAAUCAUCU
This 1080-nucleotide long non-coding RNA is filed under the name Marmota monax (woodchuck). The stretch from base 885 to 953 matches the Rfam family "tRNA". Lineage: Eukaryota; Metazoa; Chordata; Mammalia; Rodentia; Sciuridae. The record is from RNAcentral.